ACAGGCGCACCAGCGCAAACGGCCCUCGGGGGUCUCCCUGAGGAUCCACGUAAUGCCACAGGGGCUCGCGAGGUGACACCGCGUUCUUGGCUGCAGGCACUGGCUCGCACUGCUCCGGGUGAAGAACCCCGUUCAUGGCUGCAGGUGCUGGCUCGCACUGCUCGGGGGGAAGAACCCCGUUCAUGGUUGCAGGUGCUGGCUGGCGCAGCUCCGGCUGAAGAACACCGUUCAUGGUUGCAGGUGCUGACUUGCACUGUUCAAGGAGAACAUCCCCAUUCAUGCCUCUCUGAGCAUGUAAGGUUGCAGGCGAGGCUGACUCGGACCACUCUAUGAGAAUGUUGCCACCAUUCAUGGCCCUUGGAGCAUGCACCGUGUUGCCUUCUGGCUUAUGUUGCACCGUGGGAAGAUCCUCAUCUUCGUCACUGUCUAGAUUGAUGACUUCUACUUCUUUAUCCUUUGUCAUGACAACUUGCCGGGAGUGGUCACUUUCCUCUCGGUCAACAUCAAUGGCUUGAGUUGGGCUAUCAUCUGCAAUAACUUGCAAAAUUAAUUGUGGUUGGAGAAAAAGAGGAAACUG
RNAcentral lists this long non-coding RNA (577 nucleotides) under Setaria viridis. RNAcentral's name for it is "long non-coding RNA (SVIR_LNC006167)". Lineage: Eukaryota; Viridiplantae; Streptophyta; Magnoliopsida; Poales; Poaceae. The record is from RNAcentral.